UGGGGGAUAUUGCACAAUGGGCGAAAGCCUGAUGCAGCGACGCCGCGUGGGGGAUGAAGGCUUUCGGGUUGUAAACCUCUUUCGCUAUCGAACAAGGCCCGCUUAGGGUGGGUUGAGGGUAGGUGGAGAAGAAGCGCCGGCUAACUACGUGCCAGCAGCCGCGGUAAUACGUAGGGCGCGAGCGUUGUCCGGUAUUAUUGGGCGUAAAGGGCUUGUAGGCGGCUUGUUGCGCCUGCUGUGAAAACGCGGGGCUUAACUUCGCGCGUGCAGUGGGUACGGGCAGGCUUGAGUGUGGUAGGGGUGACUGGAAUUCCAGGUGUAGCGGUGGAAUGCGCAGAUAUAUGGAGGAACACCGAUGGCGAAGGCAGGUCACUGGGCCAUUACUGACGCUGAGGAGCGAAAGCAUGGGUAGAGAACAGG
This 420-nucleotide ribosomal RNA is filed under the name bacterium. RNAcentral describes it as "partial 16S ribosomal RNA". It matches the Rfam family "Bacterial small subunit ribosomal RNA", at positions 355 to 776 of the family's 1533-position model. The record is from RNAcentral.